RNAcentral lists this ribosomal RNA (389 nucleotides) under uncultured bacterium. RNAcentral describes it as "bacterial SSU rRNA". It matches the Rfam family "Bacterial small subunit ribosomal RNA", at positions 86 to 507 of the family's 1533-position model. The record is from RNAcentral.
CUGAGUAAAGUGGCGCACGGGUGAGUAACACGUGAAUUAUCUACCUCCGAGUGGGGAAUAACUGAGAGAAAUCUCAGCUAAUACCGCAUAACACUUACGAGUCAAAGCAGCAAUGCGCUUGGAGAGGAGUUCGCGGCCGAUUAGUUAGUUGGCGGGGUAAUGGCCCACCAAGACGAUGAUCGGUAUCCGGCCUGAGAGGGCGCACGGACACACUGGAACUGAAACACGGUCCAGACUCCUACGGGAGGCAGCAGUGGGGAAUUUUGCGCAAUGGGGGAAACCCUGACGCAGCAACGCCGCGUGGAGGAUGAAAUAUCUUGGUAUGUAAACUCCUUUCGAUGGGGAAGAUUAUGACGGUACCCAUAGAAGAAGCCCCGGCUAACUUCGUG